This 253-nucleotide ribosomal RNA is filed under the name uncultured bacterium. Its description in RNAcentral is "partial 16S ribosomal RNA". It matches the Rfam family "Bacterial small subunit ribosomal RNA", at positions 524 to 776 of the family's 1533-position model. The record is from RNAcentral.
GACAGAGGCCCCGAGCGUUAGGCGGAAUCAUUGGGCGUAAAGAGCGUGUAGGCGGCCAGAUAAGUCCGCUGUGAAAUCUCGAGGCUCAACUUCGAGCUGUCGGUGGAAACUGUCUGGCUAGAGUCCGGAAGAGGAGAAUGGAAUUCCUGGUGUAGCGGUGAGAUGCGCAGAUAUCAGGAAGAACACCCGUGGCGAAGGCGGUUCUCUGGGACGGUACUGACGCUGAGACGCGAAAGCGUGGGGAGCGAACAGG